This 484-nucleotide ribosomal RNA is filed under the name uncultured bacterium. RNAcentral's name for it is "bacterial SSU rRNA". It matches the Rfam family "Bacterial small subunit ribosomal RNA", at positions 30 to 513 of the family's 1533-position model. The record is from RNAcentral.
UGAACGCUGGCGGCAUGCUUUACACAUGCAAGUCGAACGGUAACAGGCCUUCGGGCGCUGACGAGUGGCGAACGGGUGAGUAAUGCAUCGGAACGUGCCCAGUCGUGGGGGAUAACGCAGCGAAAGCUGUGCUAAUACCGCAUACGAUCUGCGGAUGAAAGCGGGGGACCUUCGGGCCUCGCGCGAUUGGAGCGGCCGAUGUCAGAUUAGGUAGUUGGUGGGGUAAAGGCCCACCAAGCCGACGAUCUGUAGCUGGUCUGAGAGGACGACCAGCCACACUGGGACUGAGACACGGCCCAGACUCCUACGGGAGGCAGCAGUGGGGAAUUUUGGACAGUGGGCGCAAGCCUGAUCCAGCAAUGCCGCGUGUGUGAAGAAGGCCUGCGGGUUGUAAAGCACUUUCGGUUGGAAGAAAGACCGGGAUUAAUACUUCCGGGACUUGACACUACCAUCAUAAGAAGCACCGGCUAACUCCGUGCCAGCA